GAUGAACGCUGGCGGCGUGCCUAAUACAUGCAAGUCGAGCGAACGGACGAGAAGCUUGCUUCUCUGAUGUUAGCGGCGGACGGGUGAGUAACACGUGGAUAACCUACCUAUAAGACUGGGAUAACUUCGGGAAACCGGAGCUAAUACCGGAUAAUAUUUUGAACCGCAUGGUUCAAAAGUGAAAGACGGUCUUGCUGUCACUUAUAGAUGGAUCCGCGCUGCAUUAGCUAGUUGGUAAGGUAACGGCUUACCAAGGCAACGAUGCAUAGCCGACCUGAGAGGGUGAUCGGCCACACUGGAACUGAGACACGGUCCAGACUCCUACGGGAGGCAGCAGUAGGGAAUCGUCCGCAAUGGGCGAAAGCCUGACGGAGCAACGCCGCGUGAGUGAUGAAGGUCUUCGAAUCGUAAAACUCUGUUAUUAGGGAAGAACAUAUGUGUAAGUAACUGUGCACAUCGUGACGGUACCUAAUCAGAAAGCCACGGCUAACUACGUG
Molecule: ribosomal RNA, 497 nt
Filed under: uncultured bacterium
Lineage: Bacteria
Description: partial 16S ribosomal RNA
Rfam family: Bacterial small subunit ribosomal RNA
Source: RNAcentral